UAGUGGCAGACGGGUGAGUAAUGCAUGGGAAUCUACCUAGUAGUAUGGGAUAGCCACUGGAAAUGGUGGGUAAUACCGUAUAAUCCCCGCGGGGGAAAGAUUUAUCGCUAUUAGAUGAGCCUAUGUCGGAUUAGCUAGUUGGUGGGGUAAUGGCCUACCAAGGCAGUGAUCUGUAGCUGGUCUGAGAGGAUGAUCAGCCACACUGGAACUGAGACACGGUCCAGACUCCUACGGGAGGCAGCAGUGGGGAAUAUUGGACAAUGGGCGCAAGCCUGAUCCAGCUAUGCCGCGUGAGUGAGGAAGGCCUUAGGGUUGUAAAACUCUUUCAGUAGGGAAGAUAAUGA
Molecule: ribosomal RNA, 344 nt
Filed under: Anaplasma phagocytophilum
Lineage: Bacteria; Pseudomonadati; Pseudomonadota; Alphaproteobacteria; Rickettsiales; Anaplasmataceae
Description: bacterial SSU rRNA
Rfam family: Bacterial small subunit ribosomal RNA
Source: RNAcentral